Neofelis nebulosa (Clouded leopard) is the source of this 1382-nucleotide long non-coding RNA. RefSeq lists it as uncharacterized. The record is from RefSeq and is a predicted model, not a curated record. Lineage: Eukaryota; Metazoa; Chordata; Mammalia; Carnivora; Felidae. The transcript has 3 exons.
GAAGCAGCCCCCACAUUUGACAGCAAACAGCCUGGCAGCAGGGGAGAAAGGGAAGCAGGGUCUUUGAGAAAGGUCGGAUGGGGGCCAGCUGGCCUCAGGUCAACAGCACCCGAGACUCCAAGCCCCGGGGUGAGGAUGUUUGGGAACGAAAUACACUUGAAAUCCAGAUGCUGGGUUCCCGGAGGAGGCCGAACCAAGGGAUUCGGUUAAUUUCAACAAGCCACAGAAGGGGCUGUCUGUCUAUGCCGAACCAAAGCAGUAGGGACUAGUGACGUGAGAUGAAUAAAAGAAAAUCCCUUUCAGAAAUGAGCGCAGGCUAACGGAAGAGACAGGACACAUCUAAAUGACGGCGGCGGGACCCGGAGGAGGAAACAAGAACGAUCCGAUCGGGGGGCGCCUAGAGUCAGCUGCCUUUUAUCAUGAGGGUUGGGGAUCCCUACUCAGCAGCUCAGGAGACAAGGGCAUUUCAAAAGCCCAUAUGAAGGCGUGACACCUGAGAAUGUCCUCGAGAACAAGUCUAAGGCCACCAGGAAAGAGGCACAGGAUGUAUAUUUCAGCCUCCAAGUUAUUUUACUUCAACGGGAGAGAAGCCCGUGGAAGAAAAAAAAAAAAGAGGGAAUGAGUCUUUCUCCAAUACUCACUGGGUGCCAGCAACCGCCAUAUUCCUUCUAUCUAGCACCUCGAUGAACUUGUGAGGCACUCUAGUUCUAGAGGACGUAGAACAAGUUUGUGAACUCAAAGGCUGUCUCACCAUGUUUCAGUUCAGCCUCGUUCAUGAUGCUUCUCUUCCCCAGAAGAGAGACUCUGAGGUGUGUGAUUCAUAGGCUCCUUCUCCCAUUUUUCUCUGAUAACCUCUCUAGCACUGUUUUCACAGGAGAAACAAAUAAAAGGAUCAGGCAGCUGAGAUGGCUAUGUCACGGGACCCAUGACUGGGUCCUGAGAGGCUGCCAGGGGAUGUAGAAGAAAGGCAGGGGUUAGGCACCAAGUUGAUUCCUUCAGGCUACUCAGCCCUUGGGCCCCAAUGUACCUGAAGGGAUCCCUGAAAGGGGUCUGUCCUCCACAGAUUUAGGUUAAGAACAAGCAAUGUCUGGGAGACCCCCUCUGACCCAACAGCAGCAUGCAAAGUCUACGCUGAUUCCAAGAUGAGAUCAUUCCUGCUGGAACCCCAUUUGCUAGGAAACCUGGCGGGGGGGGGGGGUCUCUAUUUUCAGGGUAUAGACAAAAAUGUAGGCCAAUGGGGUUGGACCCAGGAAGACCCAAGGAAGCCCAGCCACAGACUGCAUUGUGGAAACAGGGUAAGGAGGCAAAAUGAUGUAACCAAAUAAACGUAGGUCCAAGUCCCUACUUCACCACUUAUUAGCCAUGUGAUCUUGGCCAGGCGA